GACGAACGCUGGCGGCGUGCUUAACACAUGCAAGUCGAACGGAGUGGCGAACGGGUGAGUAACACGAGGGUGAUCUGCCUUGCACUUCGGGAUAAGCUUGGGAAACUGGGACAAAUACCGGAUAGUGAUAAAUGAGCUCGCGGCCUAUCAGCGUGUUGGUGGGGUAAUGGCCUACCAAGGCGUCGACGGGUAGCCUGCCUGAGAGGGUGUCCGGCCACAUUGGACCUGAUAUGCAGCCCCGACUCCUACGGGAGGCAGCAGUGGGGAAUAUUGCACAAUGGGCGGAAGCCUGAUGCAGCGACGCCGCGUGGGGGAUGACGGCCUUCGGGUUGUAAACUCCUUUCGACAGGGACGCGGUACCUGUAUAAGAAGCACCGGCUAACUACGUGCCAGCAGCCGCGGUAAUUC
Molecule: ribosomal RNA, 408 nt
Filed under: uncultured bacterium
Lineage: Bacteria
Description: partial 16S ribosomal RNA
Rfam family: Bacterial small subunit ribosomal RNA
Source: RNAcentral